Molecule: RNA transcript, 1224 nt
Organism: Mus pahari (shrew mouse)
Lineage: Eukaryota; Metazoa; Chordata; Mammalia; Rodentia; Muridae
Gene name: high mobility group protein B1 pseudogene
Exons: 1
Source: RefSeq, a predicted model, not a curated record
AGCGCCGGGGCAAGCGCGAGCCGGACGGGCACUGGGCGACUCUGUGCCUCGCGGAGGAAAAUCAACUAAACAUGGGCAAAGGAGAUCCUAAGGAGCCGAGAGGCAAAAUGUCCUCAUAUGCAUUCUUUGUGCAAACCUGCCGGGAGGAGCACAAGAAGAAGCACCCGGAUGCUUCUGUCAACUUCUCAGAGUUCUCCAAGAAGUGCUCAGAGAGGUGGAAGACCAUGUCUGCUAAAGAAAAGGGGAAAUUUGAAGAUAUGGCAAAGGCUGACAAGGCUCGUUAUGAAAGAGAAAUGAAAACCUACAUCCCCCCCAAAGGGGAGACCAAAAAGAAGUUCAAGGACCCCAAUGCACCCAAGAGGCCUCCUUCGGCCUUCUUCUUGUUCUGUUCUGAGUACCGCCCCAAAAUCAAAGGAGAGCAUCCUGGCUUAUCCAUUGGUGAUGUUGCAAAGAAACUAGGAGAGAUGUGGAACAACACUGCAGCGGAUGACAAGCAGCCCUAUGAGAAGAAGGCUGCCGAGCUGAAGGAGAAGUACGAGAAGGAUAUUGCUGCCUACAGAGCUAAAGGAAAACCUGAUGCAGCGAAAAAGGGGGUGGUCAAGGCUGAAAAGAGCAAGAAAAAGAAGGAAGAGGAAGAUGAUGAGGAGGAUGAAGAGGAUGAGGAAGAGGAGGAAGAAGAGGAAGAUGAAGAUGAAGAAGAAGAUGAUGAUGAUGAAUAAGUUGGUUCUAGCGCAGUUUUUUUUCUUAUCUAUAAAGCAUUUAACCCCCCUGUACACAACUCACUCCUUUUAAAGAAAAAAAUUGAAAUGUAAGGCUGUGUAAGAUUUGUUUUUAAACUGUACAGUGUCUUUUUUUGUAUAGUUAACACACUACCGAAUGUGUCUUUAGAUAGCCCUGUCCUGGUGGUAUUUUCAAUAGCCACUAACCUUGCCUGGUACAGUCUGGGGGUUGUAAAUUGGCAUGGAAAUUUAAAGCAGGUUCUUGUUGGUGCACAGCACAAAUUAGUUAUAUAUGGGGACAGUAGUUUGGUUUUUUUAUUUUGUUUUUGUUUUUCCUUUUGGUUUUAUUUUUGGGUUUUAUUUUUUCCAUCUUCAGUUGUCUCUGAUGCAGCUUAUACGAAGAUAAUUGUUGUUCUCUUAACUGAAUACCACUCUGUAAUUGCAAAAAAAAAAAAAAUGCGGCUGUUUUGUUGACAUUCUGAAUGCUUCUAAGUAAAUACAAUUU